ACUUUCAAAGGAUAUUAGAGAUCCAUUAAUUUUAGGCAUUAACACUACCUGGUGCAAAUCCAAGUGAAAGUA
RNAcentral lists this transfer RNA (72 nucleotides) under Sphaerodactylus elegans. RNAcentral's name for it is "tRNA-Leu". The record is from RNAcentral. Lineage: Eukaryota; Metazoa; Chordata; Lepidosauria; Squamata; Sphaerodactylidae.